UCAGACUUUGAAGAUUGUUGUUUUGCUAUGGCCCAAAAAGUUGUUUUAUUGGGCCAUGAAAUACAACUAGUACUAGAUUAAAGAAUAAGAAAGACUAAGCUAAACCAAAGCGUUGGGCUUUCUCUUCGGGUCUUAACACUAUUACGAACUUAGAUCCGUGAGACUAUACCCGAUCCAUCCUCGCCCGAAUAUGGACUUUCUUUACCGCAAAAUCCCGAAAGCUUUUUUUUUUUUUUAAUUUUUGUUGAUACUGUUCCUCUGUCAAGUUUCAAGCUUCAACUGGGGGUUUUGAUUUAUGAAAAAUAUAUAUUUUCUCUAAUUUCCUAGGCUUUUUCAUUUUCCCCCAAAUUUCACUCUAUCUUCACAAAUUUUCUCUUCCGAUAACCCUUAGUGAAGAAGAAGAAGAAGAAGAAGGAGAGGAGGAAGGACUGGAAACAUGGGUGCACAAAAUCAGAGGACCCGAGGUGUUGGCAUGUCAUCCAUUGCAAGUCAUUCUCUUAGCCGAUAGCUUUGCCACCACGUUCCGUGAACGCCCCAAGAUACAUGGAGAUUUUGUUCUUAUCAGUGGAGAUAUAGUGAGCAACUUGUUGCUUACUUUGGCACUUCAGGAACAUAAAGAGAGAAGGAAAAAAGAUGCUAAUGCAAUAAUGACAAGGGUUGUUAAACAGUCAAAACCUUCUCCAAUCACUCAGCAGUCUCGAGUUGGUACUGAUGAACUCUUUAUGGCUAUCAAUCCUGACACGAAAUUGAAGAGGGUUUGUACGUUAUGAGGAUAAAGCAGAAUAUUGAAGAGGGUUUGUAUGUUAAACAGCUUCUAUGUUAUGAGGAUAAAGCAGAAUAUUGAAGAGGGUUUGUAUCUCUUGAUAAAACGCUGAUAGCUGAUAAUCUUUACAUCGUUCUGCACAAUGAUAAACAGGUUCAUUCUUCAAAUCAUCCAUUGAAAUUCUCUGGUUACAUUUCAGAUUAACUAUUAUGCCAUCCUUAAUUUUUUUUGGCACAGACACCGAAAAAGGAAGCUAUUAAUAUGUUGGUGGUGAAUUGCAUAGAAAUGCCGUGGAUGUAAUCACAACUUGGCAAAAACUUUUGAAGUCUUUCCUGCAUGAUAUAGAUGAGGAGGUUUGUGUUGUUGAUCUGGUGGAAAUUUCUGUAUCUUUUAUCUGAUUAAAUAUUAAUUACAAGCUGAAGGAAUAAUACUUGUUUUGGACUUCUACAUCUAAUUUCAUUCUUUGUACCAUCGAUCGGAUGGGUGGGGUGACUUCUAAGUUUUUAUACCACGUCAAAAUCAGUUUCUAGAAAUGCACACUUUUCCUAUUACAAUUUUGUGCUAAACUUUCUGGUAUUGCCUAACAGAUUGAGGUCAUCUUGAAAUUUGAAGAAAUAUGCCUGGAAUAUGCCAAUGCGUUCUCCCCCUUGUUUCCACAGGUAUUUCUAACAACAUACCUAGAUAUAGUAGGUUUAAAUGUGCAGAGAGAGAUUGGUUGAUAAGAUCUGGCUAGUAAGGUUUUUACAAAGUUUCUGUAGCCUAUGUCACAAUUAAAUGGUUAACCUUUUAAUGGCAAACAACUAAAAAGACAUUUGUGCAUUACUCCAUGAUUUGUCACAGUAAGCAUUCAAUAAUUUUUAUGGUAAACUCGAUUUGAUUAAUGAAAGGGAGUAGGUGCAGACCUAGAGACGGCAGUGAAGCUGCUAACUUGGGUAAUUAGUCUAGCUCCUCUACCAUUUUGAUGAUGUAAUUUGCAGGGCAAUUGCCCUUUAUUCAUGUAUGUGUAUGCUUCUUGACUUGAUAAUGCAUCUUCUAUAUGAUAAAGAAAUUCUACAAGAAGAUGCUACUUUGAAGUGGGCCGAUGAGAAGGAAGGGGCAGAUGAAUCAGAUAAAGUGUUUCUUAAGCGUUCAGAAAAACUCGUAGAGUGGUUGAGAGAGGCAGAAGAAGAAGAAGAAGAAGAAGAAGAUGAAGAUAGAGACAACCAUGCCAUGGCAAAACCUUGGUACAUAUUCGCAAUUUUGUUUUCGUGUGGCUAAGAAAAUCUUCCAAUUAGCCAUCACAAAUGUUGUAUGGAAACGUGCAAAAGCUGUCCAUAUAUGCAGAUUGACUUAUCUUAAUGAUUUUAAAUUUUUUUUCUUUUAUUCAAUAAUCUUUUUUUUAUGUCAGGC
Molecule: non-coding RNA, 2152 nt
Organism: Durio zibethinus
Lineage: Eukaryota; Viridiplantae; Streptophyta; Magnoliopsida; Malvales; Malvaceae
Source: RefSeq, a predicted model, not a curated record